Molecule: ribosomal RNA, 502 nt
Filed under: uncultured bacterium
Lineage: Bacteria
Description: partial 16S ribosomal RNA
Rfam family: Bacterial small subunit ribosomal RNA
Source: RNAcentral
AUUGAACGCUGGCGGCACGCUUAACACAUGCAAGUCGAGCGGUAACAUGGUUUGUAGCAAUACAAACCGAUGACGAGCGGCGGACGGGUGAGUAACACGUAGGAACUUGCCCAAUAGAGGGGGACAACCAAGGGAAACUUUGGCUAAUACCGCAUAUACUCGAGAGAGGAAAGCUGCCGCAAGGUGGCGCUAUUGGAGAGGCCUGCGUCUGAUUAGCUAGUUGGUGAGGUAAAGGCUCACCAAGGCGAUGAUCAGUAACUGGUCUGAGAGGACGACCAGUCACACUGGGACUGAGACACGGCCCAGACUCCUACGGGAGGCAGCAGUGGGGAAUCUUGGACAAUGGGGGCAACCCUGAUCCAGCGAUGCCGCGUGAGUGAAGAAGGCCUUCGGGUCGUAAAGCUCUUUAGGUCGGGAGGAAGGUUGGUAGUUUAAGAGAUAACCAAUUUGACUGUACCGACAGAAUAAGCACCGGCAAACUCUGUGCCAGCAGCCGCAGUAA